UAGGGAAUCUUCCACAAUGGGCGCAAGCCUGAUGGAGCAACACCGCGUGAGUGAAGAGGGGUUUCGGCUCGUAAAGCUCUGUUGUUAAAGAAGAACACGUAUGAGAGUAACUGUUCAUACGUUGACGGUAUUUAACCAGAAAGUCACGGCUAACUACGUGCC
RNAcentral lists this ribosomal RNA (162 nucleotides) under uncultured bacterium. RNAcentral's name for it is "partial 16S rRNA". It matches the Rfam family "Bacterial small subunit ribosomal RNA", at positions 355 to 509 of the family's 1533-position model. The record is from RNAcentral.